GAGUUUGAUCCUGGCUCAGGACGAACGCUGGCGGCGCGCCUAACACAUGCAAGUCGAACGAGCAAAGAGGAGCUUGCUUCUCUGAGCGAGUGGCGAACGGGUGAGUAACGCGUGAGGAACCUGCCUCAAAGAGGGGGACAACAGUUGGAAACGACUGCUAAUACCGCAUAAGCCCACGGGUCGGCAUCGACCAGAGGGAAAAGGAGCAAUCCGCUUUGAGAUGGCCUCGCGUCCGAUUAGCUAGUUGGUGAGGUAAUGGCCCUCCAAGGCGACGAUCGGUAGCCGGACUGAGAGGUUGAACGGCCACAUUGGGACUGAGACACGGCCCAGACUCCUACGGGAGGCAGCAGUGGGGAAUAUUGCACAAUGGGGGAAACCCUGAUGCAGCGACGCCGCGUGGAGGAAGAAGGUCUUCGGAUUGUAAACUCCUGUUGUUGAGGAAGAUAAUGACGGUACUCAACAAGGAAGUGACGGCUAACUACGUGCCAGCAGCCGCGGUAAAACGUAGGUCACAAGCGUUGUCCGGAAUUACUGGGUGUAAAGGGAGCGCAGGCGGGAAGACAAGUUGGAAGUGAAAUCCAUGGGCUCAACCCAUGAACUGCUUUCAAAACUGUUUUUCUUGAGUAGUGCAGAGGUAGGCGGAAAUCCCGGUGUAGCGGUGGAAUGCGUAGAUAUCGGGAGGAACACCAGUGGCGAAGGCGGCCUAUGGGCACCAACUGACGCUGAGGCUCGAAAGUGUGGGUAGCAAACAGGAUUAGAUACCCUGGUAGUCCACACCGUAAACGAUGAUUACUAGGUGUUGGAGGAUUGACCCCUUCAGUGCCGCAGUUAACACAAUAAGUAAUCCACCUGGGGAGUACGACCGCAAGGUUGAAACUCAAAGGAAUUGACGGGGGCCCGCACAAGCAGUGGAGUAUGUGGUUUAAUUCGACGCAACGCGAAGAACCUUACCAAGUCUUGACAUCCUGCGACGGACAUAGAAAUAUGUCUUUCCUUCGGGACGCAGAGACAGGUGGUGCAUGGUUGUCGUCAGCUCGUGUCGUGAGAUGCCGGGUUAAGUCCCGCAACGAGCGCAACCCUUAUGGUCAGUUACUACGCAAGAGGACUCUGGCCAGACUGCCGUUGACAAAACGGAGGAAGGUGGGGAUGACGUCAAAUCAUCAUGCCCUUUAUGACUUGGGCUACACACGUACUACAAUGGCGUUAAACAAAGAGAAGCAAGACCGCGAGGUGGAGCAAAACUCAGAACCAACCUCCCAGUUCGGACUGCAGGCUGCAACUCGCCUGCACGAAGUCGGAAUUGCUAGUAAUCGUGGAUCAGCAUGCCACGGUGAAUACGUUCCCGGGCCUUGUACACACCGCCCGUC
This 1367-nucleotide ribosomal RNA is filed under the name uncultured bacterium. RNAcentral's name for it is "bacterial SSU rRNA". It matches the Rfam family "Bacterial small subunit ribosomal RNA". The record is from RNAcentral.